RNAcentral lists this ribosomal RNA (253 nucleotides) under uncultured bacterium. Its description in RNAcentral is "partial 16S ribosomal RNA". It matches the Rfam family "Bacterial small subunit ribosomal RNA", at positions 524 to 776 of the family's 1533-position model. The record is from RNAcentral.
UACAGAGGGGGCAAGCGUUAUUCGGAAUUAUUGGGCGUAAAGGGCGCGUAGGCGGCUUUGCAAGUGACGGGUGAAAUCCCUCGGCUUAACCGAGGAACUGCCUGUCAAACUGCAUGGCUUGAGACCGGGAGAGGUGAGUGGAAUUCCCAGUGUAGCGGUGAAAUGCGUAGAUAUUGGGAGGAACACCAGUGGCGAAGGCGGCUCACUGGACCGGUACCGACGCUGAUGCGCGAAAGCGUGGGGAGCAAACAGG